Molecule: ribosomal RNA, 398 nt
Filed under: uncultured Dothideomycetes
Lineage: Eukaryota; Fungi; Ascomycota; Dothideomycetes
Description: partial small subunit ribosomal RNA
Rfam family: Eukaryotic small subunit ribosomal RNA
Source: RNAcentral
GCUUGUCUCAAAGAUUAAGCCAUGCAUGUCUAAGUACAAGCCUCAGUAAGGUGAAACCGCGAAUGGCUCAUUAAAUCACACCUAAUCUACUGGAAAGUUACUAGUUACUUGGAUAACUGAGGUAAUUCUUGAGCUAAUACAUGCGAAAAAUCUCGACUCACGGAGAGAUGCUUUUAUUAGAUAAAAAACCAAUGCCCUUCGGGGCUCCUUGGUGAAUCAUAAUAACUUAACGAAUCGCAUGGCCUUGCGCCGGCGAUGGUUCAUUCAAAUUUCUGCCCUAUCAACUUUCGAUGGUAGGAUAGUGGCCUACCAUGGUAUCAACGGGUAACGGGGAAUUAGGGUUCGACUCCGGAGAGGGAGCCUGAGAAACGGCUACCACAUCCAAGGAAGGCAGCAGG